Long non-coding RNA from Xenia sp. Carnegie-2017, 124 nucleotides. RefSeq lists it as uncharacterized. NCBI's taxonomy places the organism in Eukaryota, Metazoa, Cnidaria, Anthozoa, Malacalcyonacea, Xeniidae. The record is from RefSeq and is a predicted model, not a curated record. The transcript is spliced from 3 exons.
GUGUUUCGAAUUUUCGACAACAUGAAACUACCAGACAGACAGAUAGAUUAGCAGGAGAAAUCAGAAUGGAUGACAACAACUUGUAAUCACGCUCUAUAUGCUAUCAUCGAUUUAGUGAUUGGUU